This 253-nucleotide ribosomal RNA is filed under the name uncultured Eubacteriales bacterium. Its description in RNAcentral is "uncultured Clostridiales bacterium partial 16S ribosomal RNA". It matches the Rfam family "Bacterial small subunit ribosomal RNA", at positions 524 to 776 of the family's 1533-position model. Lineage: Bacteria; Bacillati; Bacillota; Clostridia; Eubacteriales. The record is from RNAcentral.
UACGUAGGGAGCGAGCGUUGUCCGGAAUUACUGGGUGUAAAGGGAGCGUAGACGGUGAAGCAAGUCUGAAGUGAAAGGCGGGGGCUCAACCCCCGGACUGCUUUGGAAACUGUUUGACUGGAGUGCAGGAGAGGUAAGUGGAAUUCCUAGUGUAGCGGUGAAAUGCGUAGAUAUUAGGAGGAACACCAGUGGCGAAGGCGGCCUGCUGGACAUUAACUGACGCUGAGGAGCGAAAGCGUGGGGAGCAAACAGG